CCCGAAAGCGUUUGGAGGCCGCAGAGACUAGUGGGUAGCGACUGUUUACUAAAAACACAGGUCCGUGCCAAGUCGCAAGACGAUGUAUACGGACUGACGCCUGCCCGGUGCUGGAAGGUUAAGAGGACCGGUUAGCCGUAAGGCGAAGCUGAGAAUUUAAGCCCCAGUAAACGGCGGUGGUAACUAUAACCAUCCUAAGGUAGCGAAAUUCCUUGU
RNAcentral lists this ribosomal RNA (216 nucleotides) under Aristerostoma sp. ATCC 50986. Its description in RNAcentral is "partial Bacterial large subunit ribosomal RNA". It matches the Rfam family "Bacterial large subunit ribosomal RNA", at positions 1759 to 1972 of the family's 2925-position model. Lineage: Eukaryota; Ciliophora; Colpodea; Cyrtolophosidida; Cyrtolophosididae. The record is from RNAcentral.